Long non-coding RNA from Rhinichthys klamathensis goyatoka, 980 nucleotides. RefSeq lists it as uncharacterized. Lineage: Eukaryota; Metazoa; Chordata; Actinopteri; Cypriniformes; Leuciscidae. The transcript has 3 exons. The record is from RefSeq and is a predicted model, not a curated record.
CGAGGACACGCUGAGAGACAAUCUGAUAUCAAGCAGUUCAAUGACAUGAAAAAGCAUUGCUUAUCACUAAUGACAUUUGAAUUUAAUCUUUCCAGACAAGAGAGAGCAUCUCCUGUGGAGGACUUUCAGAAGCGUUUUCCAGGCAGACGGGGACAGUGGUGAUCCUGUGUGACAAGUCUGCACCGAGGGACCAGGGCUGUGUCUUAUACUAUCAGCACAACAUCACUCUAAACUCCAGCGGGGUUUCAGUAACAGCAGGGGGUUAAUAUAAAAGAGCAUUCCCCUAGCAGGUAGGGCUCUCUUACCCAGCUGGGACUAUCCUGACCCUGCGAAGAGAGUCCGGUUGAGCCUGAGGGAUCCCAGACGGCCAAAUUCACUCACUUUUCCCACUGGGGUUUAAAUAACAAGACUACUCUGUCUCUUAGUCACACGCAAAUAGCACUUAGAGUUAUUGCGGCUAGUUGGCUAACUAGAGGGGCUUUUGUUGAUGGGCUAGCGGGGGCUUUCUCUUGAUUAGCCUGUUUGUUAACAGCAUUACGAGUUCUGUCAUUUUCAGGGAACGGAACCCCCACCCCAUAGAAAAGGCUCACCGAGUAAAAGAGGCGUUUGGAAACCCGUACGAUUAGAAGACAGAAGAGAAUUCAUGUUUUCCAGACCAUUUCACCUGACUGAACAAGAGCUCAUAGUGUGUUUGUGAGGAACAAUUUUGGAUGCAAACAGUUGGAUGUAUAUCAAAUGAGAUUUGUUAUGUUUCUCCCAGAUUGCUUUUAAGGGGCAAACAAAGACAUUAUGGCUGGCUGGCACCCUCGGACCAACACUGGAAUGUUCUCCCUGAGAUGUGUUGCAGUGCGCAUAUAUGAACACUAGGGGGCGUUGUGUCUCUGUGCAGCGGUAAUAAUCACUGCUAGCUUUAGUGGCUGCUGUUAAACAGAUGGCUUUCCUCUUAGUUCUCCAUGGAGAUCCACACUAAAACUGUAUUC